Molecule: ribosomal RNA, 253 nt
Filed under: uncultured bacterium
Lineage: Bacteria
Description: partial 16S ribosomal RNA
Rfam family: Bacterial small subunit ribosomal RNA
Source: RNAcentral
UACAGAGGGUGCAAGCGUUGUUCGGAAUUAUUGGGCGUAAAGCGCGUGUAGGCGGCCUUGCAAGUCGGGUGUGAAAGCCCUCAGCUUAACUGAGGAAGUGCGCCCGAAACUGCUUGGCUUGAGCACCGGAGAGGAUGGCGGAAUUCCCCAAGUAGAGGUGAAAUUCGUAGAUAUGGGGAGGAACACCGGUGGCGAAGGCGGCCAUCUGGACGGAUACUGACGCUGAGACGCGAAAGCGUGGGUAGCAAACAGG